GAUGAACGCUGGCGGCGUGCCUCAAACAUGCAAGUCGAGCGGGGCUAUGUAAUAUCGCAAGGUAGAACAUAGCCUAGCGGCGAACGGGUGAGUAACACGUGGGUAACCUGCCUGGAAGACAGGGAUAACGAUUCGAAAGGGUCGCUAAUACCUGAUAAUAUCCUUUCAUCGCAUGGUGAUAGGAAGAAAGGGGAAACCCGCUUUCAGAUGGGCCCGCGUCCCAUCAGCUAGUUGGUAAGGUAAAGGCUUACCAAGGCGACGACGGGUAGCCGGUCUGAGAGGAUGUACGGCCACACUGGGACUGAGAUACGGCCCAGACUCCUACGGGAGGCAGCAGUUGGGAAUCUUAGGCAAUGGACGAAAGUCUGACCUAGCGACGCCGCGUGAGGGAAGAAGGGCCUUCGGGUUGUAAACCUCUGUCAUGGGGAAGAAGUAAGUGACGGUACCCCAAGAGGAAGCCCCUGCUAACUACGUGCCAGCAGCCGCGGUAAAAGUACUCUA
Molecule: ribosomal RNA, 501 nt
Filed under: uncultured bacterium
Lineage: Bacteria
Description: bacterial SSU rRNA
Rfam family: Bacterial small subunit ribosomal RNA
Source: RNAcentral